ACGCUGGCUACAGGCUUAACACAUGCAAGUCGAGGGGCAGCAUGCCGGUUGCUUGCAACCGGUGAUGGCGACCGGCGCACGGGUGAGUAACGCGUAUCCAACCUUCCCGCGACCAAGGGAUAACCUGCCGAAAGGCAGACUAAUACCUUAUGUCCUCCUUUGAAGGCAUCUGACGAGGAGCAAAGAUCCGUCGGUCACGGAUGGGGAUGCGUCCGAUUAGCUUGUUGGCGGGGCAACGGCCCACCAAGGCUUCGAUCGGUAGGGGUUCUGAGAGGAAGGCCCCCCACACUGGAACUGAGACACGGUCCAGACUCCUACGGGAGGCAGCAGUGAGGAAUAUUGGUCAAUGGGCGGAAGCCUGAACCAGCCAAGUAGCGUGCAGGAUGACGGCCCUACGGGUUGUAAACUGCUUUUAUGCGGGGAUAAAGUUGCCCGCGCGUGGGUUUUUGCAGGUACCGCAUGAAUAAGGACCGGCUAAUUCCGUGCCAGCAGCCGCGGUAAUACGGAAGGUCCGGGCGUUAUCCGGAUUUAUUGGGUUUAAAGGGAGCGCAGGCCGCCGUGCAAGCGUGCCGUGAAAAGCAGCGGCCCAACCGCUGCCCUGCGGCGCGAACUGCCUGGCUUGAGUGCGCCGGAAGCGGGCGGAAUUCGUGGUGUAGCGGUGAAAUGCUUAGAUAUCACGAAGAACCCCGAUUGCGAAGGCAGCCCGCUGUGGCGCCACUGACGCUGAGGCUCGAAGGUGCGGGUAUCGAACAGGAUUAGAUACCCUGGUAGUCCGCACGGUAAACGAUGGAUACCCGCUGUCCGGCCCGUACGGUCUGGGCGGCCAAGCGAAAGCGUUAAGUAUCCCAUCUGGGGAGUACGCCGGCAACGGUGAAACUCAAAGGAAUUGACGGGGGCCCGCACAAGCGGA
This 910-nucleotide ribosomal RNA is filed under the name uncultured bacterium. Its description in RNAcentral is "bacterial SSU rRNA". It matches the Rfam family "Bacterial small subunit ribosomal RNA", at positions 33 to 933 of the family's 1533-position model. The record is from RNAcentral.